UGCGCCACUCCUCCGCCCACCACCUCCGCCAACCGCCUCGACCUAUCGAAGACCCCAUCCACCCAUCGGCAACCGCAUCCAGUGAUCAAGAGACUCAUCGCAACCGCGCGCAUCCACCCACCUCCUCCACUAAUCGCCACCGCAUCCACCCGGCGCUCCGAUCUCCCUGCUCCCACCUUCUCGCCGCCUCCAGUCUCGCCACCGCAUCAACCCUAAAUCCCCGAUACUGAGAUGGUGAUCGUGGGGAAGAGGAAGGACCGAGCCACUAAGGCCAGUGCUUUGAUGGAGUCUAUACGGCAAAGCGUCGGCUCAGCUAGCAGUAGCAGCCACCCUACUCCCAUACCGGCUGAGACAGUACCACCAGGGGCUCCCCCUUGAUCGUGAGGCCCCCUACCGUUGAUACUAGUUCAACGGGAUCUCCAUCAUCUACACCGACACCUGAAUCUGCAAGACGCAUCGUCGACAACGCUUGUUUGAAAGUUAGAAGCCCAAUAGCUCCGGCCCCGAAAAAGAAGCGGGGUUUAUGUUUUGAAAAGAAGACGGAGGAUAUCGUUGCACAAACGGGGCAGAAGAUCAAGCUGGAGUAUUGCCCCCGUGUAAAAGGCCUUAGCGUGAGGAGGAUAAACGGCUUGGUGGCGCAUGAUACCGGUUCCGCCAUACGGAGUCUGGUGGGAAUGUGGGCAAGGACGUUCUACGACCUUGAUCAGGAGGAGAAGUGGAAGGUGUGGAAUGCAAUGUCGCCGAAGUACGAGUGGGAUGAAAAUGAUGAGCCAAUGUUCAAUUGGAUAUUGAAGAGGGCACAAGACAGGUACAAGGACUAGAAGUACCAGUGUCACAAAACUUAUCUGAAGGAAGGGCCCUCUGGCAUGCCUUCAGAUUUCAUUGGGAGAGAGGACUAGUGGGAGUUUCUAUGCGAGCACUUCGAGUCAGAUACGUUCAAGAGACUCUCCUUGACAAACAAGCAGAACCGUGGGGAGAAGACUAUGCACCACCACACGGGGUCUUCUCUUAUCAUCUACACAAUGGAGGAACUCAUAAUACAAGGGGAGCAGCUUUCAAUUAUCAAAGGUUUUGAGAAGACCUAUGUCAGGGCCGGUGAUGAAGAUACGACCAAGAAAUAUGUAAGUGUUUAAGUCC
Fragaria vesca subsp. vesca is the source of this 1137-nucleotide RNA transcript. RefSeq lists it as uncharacterized. The record is from RefSeq and is a predicted model, not a curated record. The transcript is spliced from 5 exons. NCBI's taxonomy places the organism in Eukaryota, Viridiplantae, Streptophyta, Magnoliopsida, Rosales, Rosaceae.